RNAcentral lists this long non-coding RNA (203 nucleotides) under Elaeis guineensis (African oil palm). RNAcentral describes it as "long non-coding RNA (EGUI_LNC023028)". The record is from RNAcentral. Lineage: Eukaryota; Viridiplantae; Streptophyta; Magnoliopsida; Arecales; Arecaceae.
UACGAUUCUAUGCAAUGCAACAUAUUUAAAUUUUUUAAUCAAAUUUUAAAAAAAUUAAAUUUUGAUCGAUUUUUAAUAAUAUAAUAAAUAACAUUAAAAUAUUAACAAAUAUUUUAAAUUAAUGAAUACAUUAGCAAAAGGGAGGUGCGGUGUGGGUGGGGGAGAGGGCGUCGGACGGGCAGAAGGAGAGAGAAGAGAGGGCC